RNAcentral lists this ribosomal RNA (329 nucleotides) under uncultured eukaryote. RNAcentral's name for it is "partial 18S ribosomal RNA". It matches the Rfam family "Eukaryotic small subunit ribosomal RNA", at positions 1470 to 1796 of the family's 1831-position model. The record is from RNAcentral.
CCCUUAGAUGUCCUGAGCCGCACGCGCGCUACACUGAGUGUCUGAGAUACGAGUCUGCCUGGUCCGGCAAGGUCUAGGUAAUCGCUAAAAGACACAUCAUGCUUGGGAUAGAUUAUUGCAAAUAUUAAUCUUGAACGAGGAAUUCCUAGUAAGCGCAAGUCAACAGCUUGCGUUGAUUACGUCCCUGCCCUUUGUACACACCGCCCGUCGCUACUACUGAUUGGAUGUUUAAGCGAGGUUCUCGAACUGCUAGCGACUUAGCUUCGGUAAGGUCGCAGUGUGGGAAGUGAACCUAGCUUUGGUGUCUAGAGGAAGUAAAAGUCGUAACA